GCGGGUAUGGUGAAAUGGUAUCAUACGAGCUUCCCAAGCUCUUGGCGCGGGUUCGAUUCCCGCUACCCGCUCCA
Molecule: transfer RNA, 74 nt
Filed under: Hyphomonas sp.
Lineage: Bacteria; Pseudomonadati; Pseudomonadota; Alphaproteobacteria; Hyphomonadales; Hyphomonadaceae
Also listed under: 1 other name
Description: tRNA-Gly
Rfam family: tRNA
About the family: Transfer RNA (tRNA) molecules are approximately 80 nucleotides in length. Their secondary structure includes four short double-helical elements and three loops (D, anti-codon, and T loops).
Source: RNAcentral